GUAGUUGAGCACACAGACAUGUCUGGGCAGAGUCCGUGCAAGGUGACUCAAGAGCAACAUGAGGCCUAUGACGCAUGCCCAGGACCUUAAAAAACAAGCCUGCAAACUGGACAUCGUCCACCCUACACCGAGCCCAGGUUUA
Non-coding RNA from Chelonoidis abingdonii (Abingdon island giant tortoise), 142 nucleotides. The record is from RefSeq and is a predicted model, not a curated record. Lineage: Eukaryota; Metazoa; Chordata; Testudines; Testudinidae.